UAUAAAAGCGUGUUAACUCAAUGGUCAGAGUAUUGUGCUACGAACACAAUAGUUGCAAGUUCGAAUCUUGUACACGUUU
Molecule: transfer RNA, 79 nt
Filed under: Pseudocercospora fijiensis
Lineage: Eukaryota; Fungi; Ascomycota; Dothideomycetes; Mycosphaerellales; Mycosphaerellaceae
Description: tRNA-Arg
Rfam family: tRNA
About the family: Transfer RNA (tRNA) molecules are approximately 80 nucleotides in length. Their secondary structure includes four short double-helical elements and three loops (D, anti-codon, and T loops).
Source: RNAcentral